Molecule: ribosomal RNA, 484 nt
Filed under: uncultured bacterium
Lineage: Bacteria
Description: partial 16S ribosomal RNA
Rfam family: Bacterial small subunit ribosomal RNA
Source: RNAcentral
AUUGAACGCUGGCGGCAGGCCUAACACAUGCAAGUCGAGCGGUAGAGAGAAGCUUGCUUCUCUUGAGAUCGGCGGACGGGUGAGUAAUGCCUAGGAAUCUGCCUGGUAGUGGGGGAUAACGUUCGGAAACGGGCGCUAAUACCGCAUACGUCCUACGGGAGAAAGCAGGGGACCUUCGGGCGUUGCGCUAUCAGAUGAGCCUAGGUCGGAUGAGCUAGUUGGUGGGGUAAUGGCUCACCAAGGCUACGAUCCGAAACUGGUAUGAGAGGAUGAUCAGUCACACUGGAACUGAGACACGGUCCAGACUCCUACGGGAGGCAGCAGUGGGGAAUAUUGGACGAUGGGGGAAAGCCUGAUCCAGCCAUGCCGCGUGUGUGAAGAAGGUCUUCGGAUUGUAAAGCACUUUAAGUUGGGAGGAAGGGCAGUAAAUUAAUACUUUGCUGUUUUGACGUUACCGACAGAAUAAGCACCGGCUAACUCUGUG